CUCUGGUGCUGGAAGGCCCCUUGGAGAUCACCCCAUCCAACCCCAAGGGAAGGACCCAUCCCUGGUCACCCAGGUCACACACCCAAGGAUCUGUCCUCUGCUGGGAGUCCAGGAGUCUUUCCACUAUCUGUGCCAUUAAUUUUUCUGACCCUCAGUUUCCUUGUCCGAUGAGACUGAUAAAAGGGGAACGAAGGACCUCAAGGUGAUCGGGAACUGCGGAGGCCGCUCUCAGUUCUGUCUGGUCCCUACACCUCCCAAAGACAAAUGUGUUGUGCUUUGACCCGGCGCCACGGGGAGUGAGUUGGGAGGGCGACUAGCUUCCAGGGCAGUCAGGGUCAUUCAUCACUCUAAAGCUCUGCAGGAAGGCGGCAUCCCCCGCAGGCCCAGUCUUUCCAGGCUGAGGAAGGCUGCUCCCUGCCACCAUAGUUGCCUGAGAACAAGGUCUGGCCAUGCAGUCUCUCUAGGCUGGAAGAGACUGAAUUCAUUGAAUUUUCCCUCUUUCAGACUCAGAGUUGGAGGCUAUUCCAUCCCAGCCUCUUUCCAUGUGUGACUGCAGGUAAGUCAGUUCUAUUCUGGGUCUCAGUUUGUCUGUAAAAUGAGUCUCUGAAAGCUCCUUCCAGCUCCAGGGAGGUGAUCCAAUGAUCCCAGCACCACUAAAAUACUUCCAGUGAUGAGGGACUUACUACCUGCCUGGGCUAGCUCAUUCUGCCUUGAUCUGGGUUUCACUUCCAAUACUCUCAUGUCCCUAACUGUGUAAUCACAGCAAGUCCCAGUUCUUUCAGUCAGCUGGGCAACGGAUAUUUAUUAAGCACCUACUCUGUUCCUGGCACUGUGCUCAGUGCCUUUUGGGUACUUAAGUAAAACCUAGUGUUUGCCUGUGGGCUCCAAGGCUCUCACCUAGGUGAGAAAUUUUUAGUACAUUGCCUGUAAAAUCAACCAAUCAGGCUCAGAUGGCCGACUGCCUUAGAGGGACCUCCCUAGCAGGACAGACACCCUCCCUACUCCCUGCCUGACGCCAAGUACCCAGUGCCAGCCCUUUUCUUCCAGUCCUCAAGGCUCCGAUCCAAAGCCCACAUGGAGACUCACAUUUAAUAAACAGCUGCCUCUCGUCCAGGCUGGCCACCCACCACCAUGGCUAGCUAUACCCUGCUUGAAGCAAGGAUGCCAGCCAGAGAGCGGGCAGGCAGCAGGAAGGAAUGAAAAUGUACCUGAAAAUGCACAUUCAAGGCAGCUGUUAAUUUUCUAGGUCCUCCCCUUCUAGCAGAAGUUCUAUUGGAAAAAGUUGGGAACAAACCCCAAAGUAGGUGCCAUGGGUGCCAGCUGGCAGCUCCAUCAUUUCUGGGCUGGGCAGCGCUUUUCUAGGAAAUGGGGAGACGUAGGGCUGGUUUCUCAGACCCUGAGCCAUUGUAAAGCCCAUACCAUGGCCCUUCCUGGUCAGCCAGCCAAAGGUAGCACUUCCAGAGGGUUAUCCCUGAUGCCAUCCAGUCCCUGUGGCCAAGAAUCACUUCCUUUUAGGGCCCUGCUGCUUUCACAAUCAAUGACUUCAUUUUACAUUCUCUGUGAGGUGAGCUUCUGUAAAAUGAAGCGGCCACACUGGACCGUGGGCUCUUAAACCCCUGGGGGGCCUUGAAUGGAUUUCAGGGAAUUGGUGAAUGUGGAUGGGAAAGCAUCUUUGGCUUCUUCUGUAAUCCCAUGUCUUUUAUGCAUAUUCAGAGUCAAAAGUCCAAGACUCCCACCCAAGGUUAAGAGAUCUUGGAUUAUAGAUGAAUGAGCUAAAGGGUGUGUUGGGCCUGGAUAAGCCUGAGGAAGGGGGACAGGAACCUUGUUUUAUAUGUUCGAAGGGCUGUCCCCUCCGGGGAAGAACUAGGAGAGCUAAAAGGAGACUCUGGAGAGAGGGGCCUAACACAGUCCUGGUCACACAUGGGGCAUUUCAUAAAUGUUGCUUGAUUGGCUGGCUCGGGCUCCGGGUCUGUCCCGUUUUCUACCAGUCAGGGCUGUCCAAAUGUGCAAAGGUCUGGAGUUGGGAUGGGGGAGGGGGAGCAAUGUGCCUCAAGCCGAUCUCCAGCUCUGGCUGCUGACCAUGUGUCAGAGAUAUUAAGGGGUCCUUGGUCUUGGAGGGAGCGACCCCGAAGGUCUCUUUCAAGGCGAAUUCUGGUCACAAAGUGGUAAGGAACGUUCACGCUUCUUCCUCCUCCAUUGAGGGAGUGGGAAAAUAAGUGGAAGGUCUAAGUUUCUUUCCACUCAAGACUGUCUAGAUCGGUUGGACCGAGUUACACAGCAGCUUCCCCUCCCCCCAUCUUUCCCCCGAUAUCUGUGCCAGGGCCAACACGGCCACGAGGGAAGAUUGCAGCAGCCAUGGGGGCAUCGGGAGGGGGAAAGCAAGAGGAAAAGCCCGGAGAGAUGGGGGAGGGAAGGAAGGAAAGGGCUCCCUGGGAUGAUACCACCGCAGCAGGGGAAAACCUGAGGGGGGAGGGGGGAGGAGGGCUCAGGCCCGCCGGGGAGAGGCGCUGGGGGCUGGGCUGGCACGCGGGCUCUCUGAUCCCUCGGGCCCCAACGACUCCGGAGCCGGAACUGGGUUCUGCCCCCUCCCGUCCCCUCCCGGGCUUGGCGAAGGUUCCUGGCACCUGCUCGGCCGGGCCAGUCGCCGACCCGGUGCCCGAGCGGUGGGGGCAGAGGAAAAGCGCCAGCGCUCCUGCAGCCCUCCCGGACGCGGCCCGCGUCCCAGGUCUCUUGUUCAGAGGCAGGGGGGGAGCUGGGCUGGCCCGCGGGGACGCGGCUGCCCUUCCUUAGUGGGGCUGGGCGCGGGGGCAGCAAAGCCUGGAGGGAAGCGCCCUCGGAGAGCCCCAGCCCCUCACUGUGCGGACAAGGGAACUGAGGCUCAGAAAGGGGGAUUCGUCCCAGGAGGCAGACCCGGGCCCCACGGACAGACACAGCGGCCCCCGAGUCUCCGUCCCGGACCUUUCCCAGCCGUCGGUCCCUCAGCGGGGCGGGGGCGGGGGAGGGGGACGGUAGUUAAACCGCCCACCGGGAGCCCCGGGCGGAAUGGGCAGAAUCCGCGCUACACACUGCCUCGGGGCGGCCCCCUGCCCGGCCCGAGGCCAGCCCGCUUUGUAGAGC
This 3117-nucleotide long non-coding RNA is filed under the name Sarcophilus harrisii (Tasmanian devil). RNAcentral describes it as "lncRNA (ENSSHAG00000020732.1)". Lineage: Eukaryota; Metazoa; Chordata; Mammalia; Dasyuromorphia; Dasyuridae. The record is from RNAcentral.